RNAcentral lists this long non-coding RNA (547 nucleotides) under Panicum hallii. RNAcentral describes it as "long non-coding RNA (PHAL_LNC000039)". Lineage: Eukaryota; Viridiplantae; Streptophyta; Magnoliopsida; Poales; Poaceae. The record is from RNAcentral.
AGGGCGGCGGAGCGGCCCGUAGUCUCCUGCGCCCAGCGCUGCGCUGCCGUUGUAGUCCAUCUCCGUCCACCUCGUGCUCCUUCUCGGCCCUCUCCGCCGGUGCCCGCUGCUACUCGCUGGCGUACUCUCCCCGCCAGCUUCUUCACGGGGCGAGAGAGAGAGAGAGAGAAGGAGCUCGAUUUAGCUUCUUCCGUCAUUUCCUCCUCCAAUCUGUCCGUCUCCUUUCUAGCUUGUUCCUAUUUGGAUGGAUCCAAUUCGAUUGGUGGAAACUGAGGUUGCAAUCCAUUUUUGGGUGAGUGGAUUUGGAAAUCGGCGUUCUAUUUUUUUUCGUUUUUCCUUCUUCUUUUUUGGUUAAUUGAGGGGGACUUGCUUGUUUUGUCUUGUAUGAAAUCUGAAAUUGAUAUGCUUUGACAACAUCUUUCACAAAAAAAAAGAUAUGCUUUGACAGCACUGCUUGUCUGAAUUUCAUGAGGUGUGUAUGGUGAUAAUGCACUGACCAAUUUGAUGCGUGGAGAGAAUAAGAGGAGUAGGUACGCAAAAGUGCGGU